RNAcentral lists this small RNA (160 nucleotides) under Paenibacillus ihumii. RNAcentral describes it as "ydaO/yuaA leader". It matches the Rfam family "c-di-AMP riboswitch aptamer (ydaO/yuaA leader)". From Rfam's summary of the family: This family represents a conserved RNA structure found upstream of the ydaO and yuaA genes in Bacillus subtilis and related genes in other bacteria. The record is from RNAcentral. Lineage: Bacteria; Bacillati; Bacillota; Bacilli; Caryophanales; Paenibacillaceae.
UUGAUCGCUGAAUUCUACAGUCAGAAACGGGGGAACCGGAGGGAUGCGCAUAUACUGCCUCCCAGGGGUGAAUCGCUUGAUCUGAAUCAGAUACGUCAAGUGUAGGGCUACUUUCAGGCCCGAAUCCGUCAGCUAACCUCGUAAGCGUUACGAAAGAGGA